CUAUAAUGUGGGAGACCCGGGUUUGAUCCCUGGUUGGGGAAGAUCAUCUGGAGAAGGAAAUGGCAACCCACUCCUGUACUUUUGCCUGGAAAAUCUCAUGGGAGGAGCCUGGUAGGCUACAGUCCAUGGAGUCCCAAAGAGUCAGACACGACUGAAUGACUUUACUUCACUUACUUCUAGGAAGAAUCCACAUGCCAAAGAGCAACUGAAUCUGUGAGCCACAAUACUAAGCCCAUGAGCGGCAACUACUGAAGGCUUCAUGCUACAACAGGAGAAGCCACUGAAAUGAAAUAAGAAGCCCUUGCACGCACAACAAUAACACAAUAUGCUUUAUGCUAAAUAGGUAACAACUCCAUAUACAGUGCUUUUUGGGCAACGAGACUGUGAUGCCUCAUUGGAAGAGUGGCUGAAUGCUUCAGUGAGUCUGGGGUGAUGGGUAAACAGGUGUUUCCUGGUUCCAACUCUGUUUUAUCUCCUUAGAACACAUGAUGAAUAUGAAAAAUGUGCUAACCACAUAUGAAGUCCCCUACAGACAACCAGAAUUUCAGCAGGCAGCAGCGACCACCCAGCUGGAAGCUGGAAGAUUGACACGUGGGAACUUCAAGAUAUCCAAGAGUUAUCCGAGAAGAAAGUGUGUGGAGCUAUAAGGAUCCAACAGCCAGAAGGGGCCAUGGAGGCCAGCUUACCCCACCAGGCAUUUAGACUCAAAGGAACUGAGGCUCAGAAGCAAGGGAUCAUUGGUCUGAGACCACUUGAUCUCUAGGAGGGGGCAUUCAGGUCAAUGACUAAAAGUCUUCACUCCAAAAUAUGUAACUUCUUGGGAUCAAAUAUUGCUGUUGUUGUUCAGUUGCUGAGUUGUGUCUGACUGCAGCACCCCAGGCUUCUCCGUCCUUCACUAUCUCCAAGAGUUUGCUCAAACUCAUAUCCAUUGAGUCAGUGAUGCCACCCAAC
This 951-nucleotide long non-coding RNA is filed under the name Cervus hanglu yarkandensis (Yarkand deer). RNAcentral describes it as "lncRNA (ENSCHYG00000009701.1)". Lineage: Eukaryota; Metazoa; Chordata; Mammalia; Artiodactyla; Cervidae. The record is from RNAcentral.